AUGACAAUAAAAAUGAAUGUUGAAAAAGAAGAUCCGUUUUAUGAAGCGAAGCGGGAAGUUAGCAUAUCGUUAAAUAAACUGCAAGGUCUAUAUAAUAAUUGGAUUAGUAUAUCUGAUAAACAUUCCAUCUUGGCAAAAGAAAAAUGUUUUUUAAUAAAGGAGGAAAUAAAAUACUUGAAUAAAGAUCUAAAUGAUUUAGAAAAUUCAGUUAAUGUUGUUAAAAAUAAUAAAAGUAAAUUUAAUAUUAGUUCUGAAGAGAUAGAAAACAGAACAAAUGAUUUAAAAAAUAUUCGUAACACUUUAAAUAAUAUAGAUAGAAACUUAAAACGCAAUACUACCACAGUUUUAAAUUGUGAUACCAGUACGAUUAGCAGUUAUGGCAAAGUUACACUAAAAGAACAAGACAACGAUUUGGAGGAAUUAGCAGAAUCGGCAGAGAGGUUACAUAACGCCGCCAUUACAAUAAAUGCAGAAUUAAAAGACCAACAAAGGUAAGUACAUAUAUAUAUAUAUAUAUAUAUACAUAUACAUAUAAACAAAAAAAUAUAUAACUUAUAAUCCAUUCAUAUUUUUUCAGGAGAUUUAUUCCUUUAUUUUUAUUUUUUACGCAUAAUUUUUUUAUUUUCUUUUUUUUUUUUUUUUACACCAUUACAGGUUACUCGAAGAACUAGAAACUGAAAUGGAUUAUUCAAGUUAGGAGCAAGAGCGAUUGUUUUUAAUAUUAUUUUGUGAUACAUAAAUAUUUUCAUAUGUUAUGUAUAUCACACGAAC
This 771-nucleotide long non-coding RNA is filed under the name Piliocolobus tephrosceles (Ugandan red Colobus). RNAcentral describes it as "lncRNA (ENSPTEG00000019174.1)". The record is from RNAcentral. Lineage: Eukaryota; Metazoa; Chordata; Mammalia; Primates; Cercopithecidae.